Molecule: ribosomal RNA, 490 nt
Filed under: uncultured bacterium
Lineage: Bacteria
Description: bacterial SSU rRNA
Rfam family: Bacterial small subunit ribosomal RNA
Source: RNAcentral
AUGAACGCUAGCUACAGGCUUAACACAUGCAAGUCGAGGGGCAUCAUGGGGUUUGCUUGCAAGCCCUGAUGGCGACCGGCGCACGGGUGAGUAACGCGUAUCCAACCUGCCCCCGAGUAGGGAACAGCCCGGCGAAAAGUCGGAUUAAUGCCCUAUGUAUCCCAUGACGGCAUCAGAAUGGGAUGAAAGAUUAAUCGCUUGGGGAUGGGGAUGCGUAGGAUUAGCUUGCAGGCGGGUAACGGCCCACCUGGGCAUCGAUCCUUAGGGGUUCUGAGAGGAAGGUCCCCCACACUGGUACUGAGACACGGACCAGACUCCUACGGGAGGCAGCAGUGAGGAAUAUUGGUCAAUGGGCGUGAGCCUGAACCAGCCAAGUAGCGUGCAGGAUGACGGCCCUACGGGUUGUAAACUGCUUUUAUGCGUGGAUAAAGUGGCCUACGUGUAGGCUAUUGCAGGUAUCGCAUGAAUAAGGACCGGCUAAUUCCGUGCC